UAUAGUUACAGCCAGUAAUGGACUGUAUACGCUUGGUCACUGAUACUUUGUAUUAAGCGUACUUUCAAGUACGCCAGUCAAGUGGGAAGAGCAGCUGAUUUUCAGCUGCUCUUUUUUGUCUAU
RNAcentral lists this non-coding RNA (123 nucleotides) under unclassified sequences. RNAcentral's name for it is "DUF3800-I RNA". It matches the Rfam family "DUF3800-I RNA". From Rfam's summary of the family: Actinobacteria, Firmicutes, Fusobacteria, Proteobacteria (1 example), Tenericutes (2 examples). Terminator (Clostridia) The record is from Rfam by way of RNAcentral.